CGUUUCCCAGAAGUAACACCGGUGCCCGGGAUGGGGUGCAGGCUGUUCACCGUCCCCGCGCGCAUCCCGUGCUGCCCUCAUCCCUCCCCAGCCUCUGAAACCCGGUCUGGAAUCUUCUCUGAAGUCUUGAGUACCGGGGGGUGCUGGGCAGGCAGGUCGAGAUGGCUGGGGGCAUUGUAUCCCUGGGCAGCCCGAGAUUCAAAAAUGCAGCCAAAUAGAGGCGGUCGUUCCACGUGCCGGAAAACAUCGUGAAGGUCAUUGUAGCCCCAACUAUUAGUCGUGGUGUCACUCAUCAUUUCACAUUUGCUGUGUCGUAUCUAAGGAUUACUGUGUUGAGUGCUUCCCUACCAUUAAAGUACCUGCGACUUGUUUAUGGUUAUCUAUUUAAGAGACUCCAAAAGUCCGGGAGGUGAUGGCUCAUGCCUUUAAUCCCAGCACUCGGGAGGCAGAGUUGCUUCCAGGAAGGGUGUUUUAUCACAGCAACAAAAAUGAAAGUGUACUGGCGUCCUCAAGAGUCCCCAGAGGAGGAGCGCUAAAGGGAGGAAGUGGAAAGAGGCUGAUUCCACGGAGGCUGCUCCUCUACGUAACCUGCACCCGCUGCUUCAAGAUUAUAAUCCACCCUGAGCAUAAACUAGUGUUAAGGAAAAGGAAAUUCUUCAUCAUGUGCUCUCAGGACGCAUUGAGAGUUCAGACGCCAGCAGGCAAGACUAACGCCAUUUUAGACGGGACACCAUCUUGAGAAGCUGCUGACUGGACCCUGAACCCAGUUCCCGGGGACAAAAAAAAAAAAAAAACAGCUCAAGGUCGCUCCAGGACCCCCACAUCCUGCUGAAUCAGCCUGACACUGAGGAAACAGACAUCUUAUCAUGGUCAUCAGAUAUCCCAAUAGAUUACCAGACGCUCUAACAGAAAUUACUUAACCCCAGGGCUAAUCGACCCAGGAAGCAUCCCUACCCUGAAUGCCAAGGCUUGCAGUUUUCCCUUUAUAAGCUCACUCCCCUGAAGGCUACUCGCACCUGCUGAGCAUUGGAGUGCUGCUGGGCACCCAAACUCAAGUUCAUUUUUAAAAAUAAACUCCUGUGUGUUUGCAUCGGUA
This is a long non-coding RNA of Mesocricetus auratus (golden hamster), 1096 nucleotides long. RefSeq lists it as uncharacterized. The record is from RefSeq and is a predicted model, not a curated record. NCBI's taxonomy places the organism in Eukaryota, Metazoa, Chordata, Mammalia, Rodentia, Cricetidae. The transcript has 4 exons.